Molecule: ribosomal RNA, 464 nt
Filed under: uncultured bacterium
Lineage: Bacteria
Description: partial 16S ribosomal RNA
Rfam family: Bacterial small subunit ribosomal RNA
Source: RNAcentral
CUACGGGCGGCUCCAGUGGGGAAUAUUGGACAAUGGGGGCAACCCUGAUCCAGCAAUGCCGCGUGUGUGAAGAAGGCCUGCGGGUUGUAAAGCACUUUCAAUAGGGAGGAAAAGCUUUGGGUUAAUACCCCGAAGUCUUGACGUUACCUUUAGAAGAAGCACCGGCUAACUCUGUGCCAGCAGCCGCGGUAAUACAGAGGGUGCGAGCGUUAAUCGGAAUUACUGGGCGUAAAGCGCGCGUAGGCGGUUUGAUAAGUCAGAUGUGAAAGCCCCGGGCUUAACCUGGGAACUGCAUUUGAUACUGUCAAACUAGAGUAUGGUAGAGGGUAGUAGAAUUCCUGGUGUAGCGGUGAAAUGCGUAGAUAUCAGGAGGAAUACCAGUGGCGAAGGCGGCUACCUGGACCAAUACUGACGCUGAGGUGCGAAAGCGUGGGGAGCAAACAGGAUUAGAUACCCGAGUAGUC